CUGGAUUCAAUAAACAUAUUUUAUGACAUUAUUUUUAGACCAUCAUAUUAAAUAGAAUCUAUGGGCCCAAAUAAAAAAAAUAAUAAUUAUCCCCAUAAAUGUAUCUUUCUCCCUCAUCUCAUUUGCAUCAGUUUUAUUCCUCACCAGUACUUUAUCUAUUAGAUUUCAUUUAUUUUAAAUAACUGAAUUGGUAGCGUGAAUUGAUGGUGGACGACGUUAACUGAAGAGUUUUAAAUACAAAAAUCCGAUUAGGCGAGGGAAUAGAUAUAGUUGACAAAGCUUUUAAUUUUUGUUUACUUGUUUGUUUUAAUUUGGGCCAUGGUCUAAAAAUAGUGUUAAAAUUAACGUCACAUUGAACCCAUCCCAUAUAUAUAAAACUUCCUUUCCAUCCUCCACUACAUUUAUUGUAUGAUACUUUUAAGCUUUUAUGAUUUAUGAUUUUAUAUCUAACCAUCAUCAGAUUUUUGUACAUAGAAAGUUAUUGAAUCAUUGAAUCCUCAUCAGAUUUAAUGAAGAGUUUUUAGCAGAUACCCAUUCCAUUUAACGCUUAUAUAUACAUAGAGAGUUAUUGAAUCAUUUGUGAUUUGUGCGAAUAGGUGUUUGUGAAUGAUUCUAGACGGAAACUACGGACAAGGCACGUUCUAUUUUUUUUUUAUUUUUUUUUAUUUGAGUGUUCUUACUCUCUUGAUCAACAUAAAUUUAUAGCAUCAAACAAUUUGUUAACAAUUUAUUAGAAAUACUUUCAAUAUAUUUAAUAUUUUCUGGAGAAAUAAAUUAUAAAAGUUGGUAGUGUUGUCAUUUAUUUGAACAUAUAUUCAUCUACUAAAUGGUUGCAUUUUAAUUGUAAAUGUAUUUUUUCUAUUUAAAAUAUAUGAUAUAAUAAUAUAAAUAUUAUAUAUAAGUUUUAUUAUAUAUAUUUACAUAAAAUAUUAUAUUACAUUUUAAGUUCUAUUUCUUUAAAUAAGAUAUUUUAUUAUUUUUGUAAAUUGUGGUAUUUUUCAAAUUUAUCACUUUUGUUAUGUGUCCAUAAAAAUGUUAUUAUUAAAAACUUACAAAAUUGCAAUCUUUAUUCCAGGCCCAAUAAUACAAGAGUCUAAGAGCCAAGUCCAACAAUAGUUACACAAAACUCUUCUCUCUUCACCCACAGAAUGGUUCGGCCCAUGAAGAAGUGAGACAAAAACUCACACAAUGAACCAACAAUGGUUCGGCCCGAAUAGAAGAGAUCAACCCAAUAAAGAAAUGAAACCCUAAUUUGAAUCCCUAAUAUAAUAAGCAAGUAUAUGCAGGGUAAGAACUAAGUCUCAGCCGCACCUAAUCUCCUCUCUCAAGAAGAAGGGCACGCCACAAAUGCAUAUAAGGUUGUUUUUUAGCUUGUAUUGUUGGGAGGCUUAUAACUGGCUUCUUCACCAAUUAGAUUGUGUUUGGUUUUCGUUUUAUGCACACUGCAAGUAGGGAGUGACAACGUGCAGUAGAUUAUUGGGUUCCGGCUUUCGGUGGACUGCGGUUUUUGGUAAACAAUAAAGAAAUUGAUCUGAAAUGGUGGCAGCAUACUAAGAAAAUUAUGGUUUUUUUUUUGGUUAACUAUUUAGAAAAUGAUUGUCUAUUUAUGACCUGUAUGAAUGUACGAAUGGGUAUCUUCUGAAUGGUUGUUUGGUAUGUAUAAUCUUUGUAAA
This is a long non-coding RNA of Cannabis sativa, 1673 nucleotides long. RefSeq lists it as uncharacterized. The record is from RefSeq and is a predicted model, not a curated record. The transcript has 2 exons. NCBI's taxonomy places the organism in Eukaryota, Viridiplantae, Streptophyta, Magnoliopsida, Rosales, Cannabaceae.